Molecule: ribosomal RNA, 253 nt
Filed under: uncultured bacterium
Lineage: Bacteria
Description: partial 16S ribosomal RNA
Rfam family: Bacterial small subunit ribosomal RNA
Source: RNAcentral
UACGGAGGGUGCAAGCGUUGUCCGGAUUUAUUGGGUUUAAAGGGUGCGUAGGCGGCCCGUUAAGUCAGCGGUGAAAUCCCAGGGCUCAACCCUGGAACUGCCGUUGAUACUGGCGGGCUUGAGUUCGGUCGAGGCGGGCGGAACUGGUGGUGUAGCGGUGAAAUGCAUAGAUACCACCAAGAACCCCGAUUGCAUAGGCAGCUCGCUAGGCCGAAACUGACGCUGAGGCACGAAAGCGUGGGGAGCGAACAGG